This 220-nucleotide unclassified non-coding RNA is filed under the name soil metagenome. Its description in RNAcentral is "partial contains 5.8S ribosomal RNA, internal transcribed spacer 2, and large subunit ribosomal RNA". The record is from RNAcentral.
AACCUAGCACACCUGCGGUGUGUACCUGCGGAGGGAUCAUUAUCGAGUUACCACUCUAUAACCCUUUGUGAACAUACCUACAUGUUGCUUCGGCGGUCGGCCCCCCGGGCCCCCGGCCCCGCUCACGCGGGGCGUCCGCCGGAGGAUAACCAAACUCUGAUUUAACGACGUUUCUUCUGAGUGGCACAAGCAAAUAAUCAAAACUUUUAACAACGGAUCU